This 468-nucleotide ribosomal RNA is filed under the name uncultured bacterium. RNAcentral describes it as "partial 16S ribosomal RNA". It matches the Rfam family "Bacterial small subunit ribosomal RNA", at positions 28 to 507 of the family's 1533-position model. The record is from RNAcentral.
GACGAACGCUGGCGGCGUGCUUAACACAUGCAAGUCGAACGGUGAAGCUCCAGCUUGCUGGAGUGGAUCAGUGGCGAACGGGUGAGUAACACGUGAGCAACCUGCCCCUGACUCUGGAAUAAGCGCUGGAAACGGCGUCUAAUACUGGAUACGAGAAGGGUCCGCAUGGGCACUUUCUGGAAAGUUUUUCGGUUGGGGAUGGGCUCGCGGCCUAUCAGCUUGUUGGUGAGGUAAUGGCUCACCAAGGCGACGACGGGUAGCCGGCCUGAGAGGGCGACCGGCCACACUGGGACUGAGACACGGCCGAGACUCCUACGGGGGGAAGCAGGGGGGAAUAUUGCACAAGGGGCGAAAGCCGGAUGCAGCGACGCCGCGUGGGGGAUGACGGCCUUCGGUUUGUAAACCUCUUUCAGCGGGGAAGAAGCGAAAGGGAGGGUCCCUGCAGAAGAAGCCCCGGCUAACUACGUG